Molecule: non-coding RNA, 30 nt
Filed under: Rattus norvegicus (Norway rat)
Lineage: Eukaryota; Metazoa; Chordata; Mammalia; Rodentia; Muridae
Source: RNAcentral
UCCGAGGUGAAAUUUGAGUUUUACUGGGUC